GACGAACGUUGGCGGCGUGCUUAACACAUGCAAGUCGAACGGAAAGGCCCUGCUUUUGUGGGGUGCUCGAGUGGCGAACGUGUGAGUAACACGUGAGUAACCUGCCCUUGACUUUGGGAUAACUUCAGGAAACUGGGGCUAAUACCGGAUAGGAGCUCCUGCUGCAUGGUGGGGGUUGGAAAGUUUCGGCGGUUGGGGAUGGACUCGCGGCUUAUCAGCUUGUUGGUGGGGUAGUGGCUUACCAAGGCUUUGACGGGUAGCCGGCCUGAGAGGGUGACCGGCCACAUUGGGACUGAGAUACGGCCCAGACUCCUACGGGAGGCAGCAGUGGGGAAUAUUGCACAAUGGGCGGAAGCCUGAUGCAGCAACGCCGCGUGCGGGAUGACGGCCUUCGGGUUGUAAACCGCUUUCGCCUGUGACGAAGCGUGAGUGACGGUAAUGGGUAAAGAAGCACCGGCUAACUACGUGCCAGCAGCCGCGGUGAUACGUAGGGUGCGAGCGUUGUCCGGAUUUAUUGGGCGUAAAGGGCUCGUAGGUGGUUGAUCGCGUCGGAAGUGUAAUCUUGGGGCUUAACCCUGAGCGUGCUUUCGAUACGGGUUGACUUGAGGAAGGUAGGGAGAAAUGGAAUUCCUGGUGGAGCGGUGGAAUGCGCAGAUAUCAGGAGGAACACCAGUGGCGAAGGCGGUUCUCUGGGCCUUUCCUGACGCUGAGGAGCGAAAGCGUGGGGAGCGAACAGGCUUAGAUACCCUGGUAGUCCACGCUGUAAACGGUGGGUACUAGGUGUGAGGUCCAUUCCACGGGUUCCGUGCCGUAGCUAACGCUUUAAGUACCCCGCCUGGGGAGUACGGCCGCAAGGCUAAAACUCAAAGGAAUUGACGGGGCCCCGCACAAGCGGCGGAGCAUGCGGAUUAAUUCGAUGCAACGCGUAGAACCUUACCUGGGUUUGACAUGGAUCGGGAGUGCUCAGAGAUGGGUGUGCCUCUUUUGGGGUCGGUUCACAGGUGGUGCAUGGCUGUCGUCAGCUCGUGUCGUGAGAUGUUGGGUUAAGUCCCGCAACGAGCGCAGCCCUUGUUCACUGUUGCCAGCACGUUAUGGUGGGGACUCAGUGGAGACCGCCGGGGUCAACUCGGAGGAAGGUGGGGAUGACGUCAAGUCAUCAUGCCCCUUAUGUCCAGGGCUUCACGCAUGCUACAAUGGCUGGUACAGAGAGUGGCGAGCCUGUGAGGGUGAGCGAAUCUCGGAAAGCCGGUCUCAGUUCGGAUUGGGGUCUGCAACUCGACCUCAUGAAGUCGGAGUCGCUAGUAAUCGCAGAUCAGCAACGCUGCGGUGAAUACGUUCCCGGGGCU
This 1346-nucleotide ribosomal RNA is filed under the name uncultured bacterium. RNAcentral describes it as "partial 16S ribosomal RNA". It matches the Rfam family "Bacterial small subunit ribosomal RNA", at positions 28 to 1381 of the family's 1533-position model. The record is from RNAcentral.